UUCCAUAGAAAUGGCUAUGGGGUUGAUUAAUGCUAAUCCUAUAAUCCAUGAGAAAAAAGAAAGACGCAUCCGACAGGCACCAGAGACCACAGAUGAAAAUGCGGUAGAGUCCAUAGACCAGCUGGAAAUAUUUGAUAUCCUUCUUAAUGAUUUCCCUUAUAUAAAUGUAGUGAAGCUUGCCUUUUCAUUUAUCUGUGAAUCCUCUAUCCUAGCAAUUUGGUUGUUGCGGUCCUUAACGUUCUUACAUCACAUUAGAGAUAUAAAGGAUCCAGAGCACCCAUACUCACUGGAACAGCUUAAUGUGGUGACUGAAGACUCAAUUGAACUCAAUGAUGAAAGCAAUCAUGUCAGGUAAGUUCUCAUAUAUGAUAUAUCUAAGUUCCUUGGUUUGGAUGUACAAUUAAGGAUUGUUACCGAAGCUCACUAUUGAGACUCAUAA
RNAcentral lists this long non-coding RNA (439 nucleotides) under Zea mays. RNAcentral describes it as "long non-coding RNA (ZMAY_LNC000707)". Lineage: Eukaryota; Viridiplantae; Streptophyta; Magnoliopsida; Poales; Poaceae. The record is from RNAcentral.